GUAAAAAGCCUGUCCGACCGGUUCUUUCGUCUGCGCAAGCCGAUAAAAACAAACAACCCGAGACCCACCCCCUCCCGGGCAACCACCACUCUCGUCACUCGUCCAUCCGGCCUCUCUGACUCUCUGACUCUCUCAACCUCUCUUCACUCUUUAGUCUCCAAUCUCCCUCCACCUUCCGGCUUUCAGCCUCCAGUUCACCCGCCUUUAGCCGUCUGCUUCUUCGACGACCGUCCCUGCUGAAAAAUGAGAAAGUCAGAAAGACAGGUUUGGUGGUAAAGGACAAAUGAGAAUUGAAAAGAGUUAACGAUAAUAAUUUUUUAGGUUUGCGUACUUUAUGACAACCCGAGACCCACCCCCUCCCGGGCAACCACCACUCUCGUCACUCGUCCAUCCGGCCUCUCUGACUCUCUGACUCUCUCAACCUCUCUUCACUCUUUAGUCUCCAAUCUUCCUCCACCUUCCGGCUUUCAGCCUCCAGUUCACCCGCCUUUAGCCGUCUGCUUCUUCGACGACCGUCCCUGCUGAAAAAUGAGAAAGUCAGAAAGACAGGUUUGGUG
Molecule: long non-coding RNA, 557 nt
Filed under: Gossypium barbadense (sea-island cotton)
Lineage: Eukaryota; Viridiplantae; Streptophyta; Magnoliopsida; Malvales; Malvaceae
Description: long non-coding RNA (GBAR_LNC017150)
Source: RNAcentral